CCGACUGCUAUCAGAGUGGGACUAAGCCAUGCGAGUCAACGUAGAAAUACGUGGCAAACGGCUCAGUAACACGUAGUCAACAUGCCCAGGGGACGUGGAUAACCUCGGGAAACUGAGGAUAAACCGCGAUAGGCCAAGGUUUCUGGAAUGAGCCAUGGCCUAAAUCUAUAUGGCCUUUGGAUUGGACUGCGGCCGAUCAGGCUGUCGGUGAGGUAAUGGCCCACCAAACCUGUUACCGGUACGGGCUUUGAGAGGAGGAGCCCGGAGAUGGGCACUGAGACAAGGGCCCAGGCCCUAUGGGGCGCAGCAGGCGCGAAAUCUCUGCAAUAGGCGAAAGCUUGACAGGGUUACUCUGAGUGAUUCCCGCUAAGGGGAUCUUUUGGCACCUCUAAAAAUGGUGCAGAAUAAGGGGUGGGCCAAGUUUUGGUGUCAGCCGCCGCGGUAAUACCAGCACCCCGAGUGGUCGGGACGAUUAUUGGGCCUAAAGCAUCCGUAGCCAGUACUGCAAGUCUUCCGUUAAAUCCACCUGCUCAACAGUUGGGCUGCGGAGGAUACUACAGCGCUAGGAGGCGGGAGAGGCAAGCGGUACUCAGUGGGUAGGGGUAAAAUCCACUGAUCCAUUGAAGACCACCAGUGGCGAAGGCGGCUUGCCAGAACGCACUCGACGGUGAGGGAUGAAAGCUGGGGGAGCAAACCGGAUUAGAUACCCGGGUAGUCCCAGCUGUAAACGAUGCAGACUCGGUGAUGGGCUGGCCUUGUGCCAGCCCAGUG
RNAcentral lists this ribosomal RNA (771 nucleotides) under uncultured archaeon. RNAcentral describes it as "bacterial SSU rRNA". It matches the Rfam family "Archaeal small subunit ribosomal RNA", at positions 23 to 800 of the family's 1478-position model. The record is from RNAcentral.